This 26-nucleotide non-coding RNA is filed under the name Homo sapiens (human). The record is from RNAcentral. Lineage: Eukaryota; Metazoa; Chordata; Mammalia; Primates; Hominidae.
AUAUUGCAAACUGAUCAAAGCGCUUC